AUGGGAUUAUUACAAGAGGACAUAGCAAGAGAUAACAUUAUCUCAUUGCAUCGACAGAUAAAUUGGAAUUGUGAAGCUCAUUUCCUUGAAAAGGUCAUUGAAAGGUUCAUGGGACAUCCAGAACUACCUUUUCUGGUAAUUAAAGAUGGUGAUGUCUAUGAAGAAGGCACAUACCGUUGGAUUUCAAUCAAAUCAAGGAAUACAAAAAUACAUGGCAUGCAAACUAUACCUACAAUGACAACAUCUUUCUUCUUGGCAUUUGAAAGAUCCGACCAACCACAAACAUUACCAAAUGGCAUGUUUGAACAUUGCAGCAAGCUUGGUGUGCUAGUUCUCUAUUGUUGUGCCUUCAGUUUUGCAUCACCUCCUUUCUUGAAGUGUUGUGGACUAAGAUUCCUUGGACUGGACCACUGCACUGAUGAGAAAGCAACUGAAGGAGAGGAUGAUGCAGAGUGGCUAUGUUUGUCUAGUCUAUGGGUUCUGGACGUACGUUACACAAACUGGAAUGGAAUUUUUUGUGCAGAAAAGAUGGACAUCAUGACUAACAUCAGAGAACUAAAUAUAGAGGGAGAAAUGGGUUGGCAGUACAUAGCUUGCCUACAGCGGCGGCUACCUAACCUCGAGAGGCUCCGGAUAAUCAAGCCAACAUGUAAAUGGGUGAUAUCAGAGGCUGUUGAUAACUACUUCGUAGAUAAGAAAAGUAUGAAAAUACUUGAUUUGUCAGGGAACAGUGACAUGAAAAGUCUUCCAACAAGCCUAUCAAAAGCUAGCAGCCUUCAGAUGCUUGUACUUGAUGGCUGUGAUGAACUGGAAAGCAUUGGUGGGCUACCUCCCUCUCUCGAAUCGGUUAGCUUUAACGGAUAUGGGCCAGCUUCUCAAUGGACACAAACUGUUGAGCUACCUCCAAAACAAUUUCUUCCAUCCAGCAGAACAGAUAAUAAGGAUGUCAGAAUAUCCAAGAUCUCCUUAGCAGGCUGCACCCAGUUGGGGAAUUUGUACUUGUGUUGGCUACCCAACCUGGUGGAAUUGGACCUCUCUGGAACAUCAAUCAAGAUACUUGACUUCAAGACUAUGGUGGUGCAAAUCCCAAGGCUCAAGCGGCUGUUUCUAAAGGAUGCAAGCACCUUCGUGCAAUAA
RNAcentral lists this ribosomal RNA (1137 nucleotides) under Triticum aestivum (bread wheat). RNAcentral describes it as "partial small subunit ribosomal RNA". Lineage: Eukaryota; Viridiplantae; Streptophyta; Magnoliopsida; Poales; Poaceae. The record is from RNAcentral.